RNAcentral lists this unclassified non-coding RNA (220 nucleotides) under rhizosphere metagenome. Its description in RNAcentral is "partial ribosomal RNA internal transcribed spacer region". The record is from RNAcentral.
GUAGGUGAACCUGCGGAAGGAUCAUUAAAGAGACGUUGCCCUUCGGGGUAUACCUCCCACCCUUUGUUUAUUAUACCUUUGUUGCUUUGGCAGGCCCGUCCCUCGGGACCCCCGGCUCCGGCUGGGCCGCGCCUGCCAGAGGACCCCAAACUCUGUUUGUUAAUAUUGUCUGAGUACUAUAUAAUAGUUAAAACUUUCAACAACGGAUCUCUUGGUUCUG